RNAcentral lists this long non-coding RNA (465 nucleotides) under Capra hircus (goat). Its description in RNAcentral is "lncRNA (ENSCHIG00010000392.1)". The record is from RNAcentral. Lineage: Eukaryota; Metazoa; Chordata; Mammalia; Artiodactyla; Bovidae.
UGUACACAUUUAAAGGGCCUGUUUUAUAUUAUGUGAAUUAUAUCUCAAUAAAUAGAAAAUGGGUCCUGGGUAUAAUGAAGAUUCCAUUCCAUUUGCCCAGGAGACCACUGGAUACAAUGAGGAGAAUGGAGUCCAGAGGGGAGAGGACCAGCAAUGGUACUCGUCUCUCUUGCCUUGGGACCUUGCCCAUCACCCUGCCGUCAGAGACUGCACAGCAAGGCAGGAUCUCAGAGGACUGUUCUAAUGGAGACAAGAUGUUCUUUCUUCCUGCCCAUGAGUGAGAGCAGUUUAUGGACUAGAGAUGGAGUGCUCCCUCUCUCACUUAACUUCCUUGAGGAGAUUUUCAGUUCAAUAGGGAAGCUGAGGAACCCUUCCCCGGUUUGCUUGGCCAACUCCGUUUGUGGACAGAGCACAUGCCUCUUUCUCUUGAGUUAUGAAGAUCACACUGACAGAAGGCCAAUUUGA